CAUUACCGAGAUAGGGUCCUUUUUGGGGACCCGACUUUCCUACCCUUUGUGUACAUAUCUCUGUUGCUUCGGCGGUUCUCCGCGGCAUACGGCGCUGCUUGGCACGUCGAGUCUCGGCCCGCCAGAGGCCCUUUUAAUUCUUGUUUAUUAGUGACGUCUGAGCAUACUUGCAAAAAUUAAUUAAAACUUUCAACAACGGAUCUCUUGGUUCUGGCAUCGAUGAAGAACGCAGCGAAAUGCGAUAAGUAAUGUGAAUUGCAGAAUUCAGUGAAUCAUCGAAUCUUUGAACGCACAUUGCGCCCUCUGGUAUUCCGGGGGGCAUGCCUGUUCGAGCGUCAUUACACCUCUCAAGCUUCGCUUGGUAUUGGGCUUUCGUCCCCUGUGGACGGGCCUGAAAAUCAGUGGCGGUGCAGCCGGUGCUCAAGCGUAAUAACAUUAUAUCUCGCUUUGGAGUGACCGGGUGGACCCGCCAGAUAA
Molecule: ribosomal RNA, 477 nt
Filed under: Circinaria calcarea
Lineage: Eukaryota; Fungi; Ascomycota; Lecanoromycetes; Pertusariales; Megasporaceae
Description: eukaryotic LSU rRNA
Rfam family: 5.8S ribosomal RNA (bases 185-338)
Source: RNAcentral